This 298-nucleotide long non-coding RNA is filed under the name Setaria viridis. Its description in RNAcentral is "long non-coding RNA (SVIR_LNC002683)". Lineage: Eukaryota; Viridiplantae; Streptophyta; Magnoliopsida; Poales; Poaceae. The record is from RNAcentral.
UUUUUAAGUAACAGUGGUAGGCAAUUCAAUUGCAAAUUAGGGGUUAUUUUAAAUAUUAUUUAUAAUGGUAUAAGUGGGUAAUUUGGAUGAAUAUUAGGAGGUUACUUCGGUUUAUUUUAUAUAAUGGUAGAGGUGGGUAAUUUAUAUGUAGAUUUAGAGGGUUACUUUAGACUAUUUACAUAAUGGCAUAGGUGGGUAAUUGUUCAGAAAACAUAAUAGAUCCAAAGGCUAUGAUGAUUUCAAUCUAUCGAUUGAUGGUCGGAUGUUUUGCUUUUUGGUAAGAAUUUCUAGGAUUUCU